This is a long non-coding RNA of Camponotus floridanus (Florida carpenter ant), 721 nucleotides long. RefSeq lists it as uncharacterized. The transcript has 4 exons. NCBI's taxonomy places the organism in Eukaryota, Metazoa, Arthropoda, Insecta, Hymenoptera, Formicidae. The record is from RefSeq and is a predicted model, not a curated record.
AGGUUAGUGUGAGGCUGGAGAUCGGGUGACCCGAGAAAUAAUGACGGUGCGAACUAUACACGUAUCCAAGAACACCGUCGAUCACGUAAUUAAUGCCGUCUUCCGAGUCAGACCCUGGAGACGGCAUUAAUUACGUGAUCGACGGUGUUCUUGGACAUGUAUAUAGUUCGCCUUCCAGUAGUAUCUUUAGUUUUAUGCAAUACUUUUACAAAUACAUCUGCAUUUAGUUGAAUGAUUCCGCAGCAGUUUUUUGGAUUUUAUCACCAACCAUCAAUGAUACUAAAGAAAAUGGUUAUGAGAAAUUUUACAACAGAGAAGGUUGAUGGAGAGAUGAUAAAGGCAAUCGAUUUUACAGUGAGCAGACGAUAGUUGGUAGAGGAAUCUCAUAAAUCUCUCCUGCUGCCUACGUGCUCCUGCUGCUGUUCCUCUUGAUCUUCGAACUAAAGAUAAGCGAGAUCGGGAUUAUCGAGAUCAGCCACAAUCAUAUUAGCGGCAGCAUUGUCUGAGUCAGCGAUGGGAGCAGCAGCAGAUUUUACGCCGGAAUUAAUGCUGGCGUUGGUACCAGCAGCAACAGGUUUGGCGAUAGAAUCAACAGCGACGGGUUUGGUAACAGAACCAACGACGACGGGUUUGGCGGUAGAAUUCGUAGCUACUCUACGUUCAGCAGCAAUGGGUUUGACGACGGAGACAGCUGCGGCAGAAUUAGACGUACGUCUAACAA